UUUUUUUUUUUUUUUUUUUGUAUAGAUGAAAAAGGGACCCAAAGAAUUUGAGGCCUUGUACACAUGCGUAAAUCGAGAAUCUGGUUACGUUUACAGAACUAUUUUUACAGGAGUAAACUCCCCAUUAACAUAGUCGAAAAGAAUCUGUAGGUACAUAAAAUUGUAGUCGUUCGGGUGGAACAAUAUUAUUUCCCAAAAUACGAAUGUCCUGAAAUAAACAAUUUCCGGGGCACUUCCGGUGACUUGCUGGCCACAUAUCUAUUGCCAUAAACCGAUAUAGGGCGCCGCCAAUCGAAUCGGAGCUAUGAAAUUCGGAAUACAGAUAUUCGAUAUAUUAUAGUAUAAUGUUUAAUUUAAUGUGACAGUUACGAGAAAAUAAACGCAUUUUACUAUCAUAAUGUUUGUGCUUG
Cinara cedri is the source of this 410-nucleotide non-coding RNA. Lineage: Eukaryota; Metazoa; Arthropoda; Insecta; Hemiptera; Aphididae. The record is from the annotation of a GenBank genome assembly.